UUGGGAAUCUUGCGCAAUGGGGGCAACCCUGAUGCAGCGACGCCGCGUGGGUGAUGAAGGUUUUCGGAUCGUAAAGCCCUUUUCUGCAUGACGAGCCAAGGACGGUAGUGCAGGAAUAAGUGUCGGCUAACUACGUGCCAGCAGCCGCGGUAAAACGUAGGACACAAGCGUUAUCCGGAAUUACUGGGCGUAAAGGGCGUGCAGGCGGUUGCGUAAGUUAGGCGUGAAAGACUUCGGCUAAACCGGGGGAGGUCGUCUGAUACUGCGCAACUAGAGUAUGGUAGAGGCGUGUAGAAUUCCGGGUGUAGUGGUGAAAUGCGUAGAGAUCCGGAGGAAUACCAGUGGCGAAGGCGGCACGCUGGGCCAUAACUGACGCUAAGACGCGAAAGCGUGGGGAGCAAACAGGAUUAGAUACCCAAGUAGUCCCUGAGCGGGCUGGCAAGGCGCAU
Molecule: ribosomal RNA, 449 nt
Filed under: uncultured bacterium
Lineage: Bacteria
Description: bacterial SSU rRNA
Rfam family: Bacterial small subunit ribosomal RNA
Source: RNAcentral